RNAcentral lists this ribosomal RNA (396 nucleotides) under Staphylococcus aureus. RNAcentral describes it as "bacterial SSU rRNA". It matches the Rfam family "Bacterial small subunit ribosomal RNA", at positions 1036 to 1433 of the family's 1533-position model. The record is from RNAcentral. Lineage: Bacteria; Bacillati; Bacillota; Bacilli; Caryophanales; Staphylococcaceae.
AGGUGGUGCAUGGUUGUCGUCAGCUCGUGUCGUGAGAUGUUGGGUUAAGUCCCGCAACGAGCGCAACCCUUAAGCUUAGUUGCCAUCAUUAAGUUGGGCACUCUAAGUUGACUGCCGGUGACAAACCGGAGGAAGGUGGGGAUGACGUCAAAUCAUCAUGCCCCUUAUGAUUUGGGCUACACACGUGCUACAAUGGACAAUACAAAGGGCAGCGAAACCGCGAGGUCAAGCAAAUCCCAUAAAGUUGUUCUCAGUUCGGAUUGUAGUCUGCAACUCGACUACAUGAAGCUGGAAUCGCUAGUAAUCGUAGAUCAGCAUGCUACGGUGAAUACGUUCCCGGGUCUUGUACACACCGCCCGUCACACCACGAGAGUUUGUAACACCCGAAGCCGGUGG